CGAUGAGAAGCUGUAGCGUGUUCCUUUGUGUUUCUAGGUCGUAUAAGACGGUACCCCCUAAUCGGUGUCGGCCGCGCAUGGCACCGGUCGGGCUUGAAACGACAAUCAAGCCUGCCGAUGACUGGAAGCCUAUCGUAGUGAUUUUUUUUCGAAAAAACUCUACGAGACAGGNAUCCAGCCAUCGAUAUGCGUGGGGCGGUGGGUUUCGAUGCCUCGUAUCUUGCUAGCGUGUUUCCUAGAUGGACGUAAUUCGUUUCUCAUUCUUCUCUAGUGACCCGACAUCGUUCCCUAGCCGGUGUUUAUGAACUAUGUCGGUUGGGCUUUGCUUGGCUUGACUGAUCAUAAGCAUUCGGUUUAGCGUUUAGGAGCAAUGUGAGUCGAGAUCUUCUUGACAUACGGCGCAGAUUACGCAGGUGACCCGUGGACACGAGGUCAUGUCAAUUGAGCAUUGCUCGGUUUGACUGCUCGUUACACGGCUUGUUUGUUUACUAGCGGGGCAUGUUUAGCGAAUUCACUGAGCUCUUCGUAAAUACACUAGAAAGUUAUGAUGGUUCAUCGUUGCUYGUCGUUAGGUUUCCAGAUUUCGUAUCGCUCGGUGCAUUUUGGGGCUGUUUUGGCUUUUGGUUGCUUGCUUGGCCUUGAGCAUAAGUGGGUGGCUACUCAAGUCGAGCGGCUUCGGGGAUGUUUACCGUAAAGGUGCAUGAGUGGUGUUUGGUUUGUUACGUGUGGUUGGCUGCGGGCGCUUGCAACAACUUCCCCGCUCUCAUACCUCUUCAGUAGUGCGACAAGGCCUGUAUCGCCUUGAGCGUCAUGUGGGUUUUCUGUGCUAAAUACCUAGUCGCCGGUAUUGGUUGGAUAGAUUAAAGUUGCUUUUCGCCUUGCGUUGCUUUGCGGCGCGAGGUGAACAUGAAUGCGUUCUCUUUGGUCCACCUUGUCUAAGCAAAAGCUUCGACAUUGUGGCGCAUUGAGUAUCGCUUGGUUUCUCGUAUACGGAACACAAAGCGGGCAUGGAUCUAACGAUUCUUUUUUGCCCUU
RNAcentral lists this unclassified non-coding RNA (1035 nucleotides) under Cladanthus mixtus. Its description in RNAcentral is "partial external transcribed spacer". The record is from RNAcentral. Lineage: Eukaryota; Viridiplantae; Streptophyta; Magnoliopsida; Asterales; Asteraceae.